This 2335-nucleotide ribosomal RNA is filed under the name Salmonella enterica. RNAcentral describes it as "partial 23S ribosomal RNA". It matches the Rfam family "Bacterial large subunit ribosomal RNA", at positions 711 to 2925 of the family's 2925-position model. The record is from RNAcentral. RNAcentral also lists the same sequence under 1 other name. Lineage: Bacteria; Pseudomonadati; Pseudomonadota; Gammaproteobacteria; Enterobacterales; Enterobacteriaceae.
AGACCCGAAACCCGGUGAUCUAGCCAUGGGCAGGUUGAAGGUUGGGUAACACUAACUGGAGGACCGAACCGACUAAUGUUGAAAAAUUAGCGGAUGACCUGUGGCUGGGGGUGAAAGGCCAAUCAAACCGGGAGAUAGCUGGUUCUCCCCGAAAGCUAUUUAGGUAGCGCCUCGUGAAUUCAUCUCCGGGGGUAGAGCACUGUUUCGGCUAGGGGGCCAUCCCGGCUUACCAACCCGAUGCAAACUGCGAAUACCGGAGAAUGUUAUCACGGGAGACACACGGCGGGUGCUAACGUCCGUCGUGAAGAGGGAAACAACCCAGACCGCCAGCUAAGGUCCCAAAGUCAUGGUUAAGUGGGAAACGAUGUGGGAAGGCCCAGACAGCCAGGAUGUUGGCUUAGAAGCAGCCAUCAUUUAAAGAAAGCGUAAUAGCUCACUGGUCGAGUCGGCCUGCGCGGAAGAUGUAACGGGGCUAAACCAUGCACCGAAGCUGCGGCAGCGAACGUAUCACCCAAGACAACUUUACGGAGUUGACGAUUGACGGAGCGAAGCGACGUCAAAGCGUUCAUUAAAGUCGAGUUGGCUUAGGGAUACGUUCGUUGGGUAGGGGAGCGUUCUGUAAGCCUGUGAAGGUGUGUCGUGAGGCAUGCUGGAGGUAUCAGAAGUGCGAAUGCUGACAUAAGUAACGAUAAAGCGGGUGAAAAGCCCGCUCGCCGGAAGACCAAGGGUUCCUGUCCAACGUUAAUCGGGGCAGGGUGAGUCGACCCCUAAGGCGAGGCCGAAAGGCGUAGUCGAUGGGAAACGGGUUAAUAUUCCCGUACUUGGUGUUACUGCGAAGGGGGGACGGAGAAGGCUAUGUUGGCCGGGCGACGGUUGUCCCGGUUUAAGCGUGUAGGUGUGUGUUCCAGGUAAAUCCGGUUCACUUUAACACUGAGGCGUGAUGACGAGGCACUACGGUGCUGAAGCAACAAAUGCCCUGCUUCCAGGAAAAGCCUCUAAGCAUCAGGUAACAUCAAAUCGUACCCCAAACCGACACAGGUGGUCAGGUAGAGAAUACCAAGGCGCUUGAGAGAACUCGGGUGAAGGAACUAGGCAAAAUGGUGCCGUAACUUCGGGAGAAGGCACGCUGACACGUAGGUGAAGUGAUUUACUCACGGAGCUGAAGUCAGUCGAAGAUACCAGCUGGCUGCAACUGUUUAUUAAAAACACAGCACUGUGCAAACACGAAAGUGGACGUAUACGGUGUGACGCCUGCCCGGUGCCGGAAGGUUAAUUGAUGGGGUCAGCGCAAGCGAAGCUCCUGAUCGAAGCCCCGGUAAACGGCGGCCGUAACUAUAACGGUCCUAAGGUAGCGAAAUUCCUUGUCGGGUAAGUUCCGACCUGCACGAAUGGCGUAAUGAUGGCCAGGCUGUCUCCACCCGAGACUCAGUGAAAUUGAACUCGCUGUGAAGAUGCAGUGUACCCGCGGCAAGACGGAAAGACCCCGUGAACCUUUACUAUAGCUUGACACUGAACAUUGAGCCUUGAUGUGUAGGAUAGGUGGGAGGCUUUGAAGUGUGGACGCCAGUCUGCAUGGAGCCGACCUUGAAAUACCACCCUUUAAUGUUUGAUGUUCUAACGUGGACCCGUAAUCCGGGUUGCGGACAGUGUCUGGUGGGUAGUUUGACUGGGGCGGUCUCCUCCUAAAGAGUAACGGAGGAGCACGAAGGUUGGCUAAUCCUGGUCGGACAUCAGGAGGUUAGUGCAAUGGCAUAAGCCAGCUUGACUGCGAGCGUGACGGCGCGAGCAGGUGCGAAAGCAGGUCAUAGUGAUCCGGUGGUUCUGAAUGGAAGGGCCAUCGCUCAACGGAUAAAAGGUACUCCGGGGAUAACAGGCUGAUACCGCCCAAGAGUUCAUAUCGACGGCGGUGUUUGGCACCUCGAUGUCGGCUCAUCACAUCCUGGGGCUGAAGUAGGUCCCAAGGGUAUGGCUGUUCGCCAUUUAAAGUGGUACGCGAGCUGGGUUUAGAACGUCGUGAGACAGUUCGGUCCCUAUCUGCCGUGGGCGCUGGAGAACUGAGGGGGGCUGCUCCUAGUACGAGAGGACCGGAGUGGACGCAUCACUGGUGUUCGGGUUGUCAUGCCAAUGGCACUGCCCGGUAGCUAAAUGCGGAAGAGAUAAGUGCUGAAAGCAUCUAAGCACGAAACUUGCCCCGAGAUGAGUUCUCCCUGAGACUUAGAGUCUCCUGAAGGAACGUUGAAGACGACGACGUUGAUAGGCCGGGUGUGUAAGCGCAGCGAUGCGUUGAGCUAACCGGUACUAAUGAACCGUGAGGCUUAACCUUACAACGCCGAAG